CGGGAAUGCUGCGGGACAGGGGAACCUGG
This 29-nucleotide non-coding RNA is filed under the name Cricetulus griseus (Chinese hamster). The record is from RNAcentral. Lineage: Eukaryota; Metazoa; Chordata; Mammalia; Rodentia; Cricetidae.